AUGAUGGAUCCGACCAUGAUG
RNAcentral lists this microRNA (21 nucleotides) under Arabidopsis lyrata. RNAcentral's name for it is "aly-miR842-5p". Its record names the gene aly-miR842-5p. Lineage: Eukaryota; Viridiplantae; Streptophyta; Magnoliopsida; Brassicales; Brassicaceae. The record is from miRBase by way of RNAcentral.